AGGGCACCACCAGGAGUGGAGCCUGCGGCUUAAUUUGACUCAACACGGGGAAACUUACCCGGCCUGGACACUGGAAGGAUUGACAGAUUGAGAGCUCUUUCUUGAUUCAGUGGGUGGUGGUGCAUGGCCGUCCUUAGUUGGUGGAGCGAUUUGUCUGGUUAAUUCCGAUAACGAACGAGACUCUAGCCUAUUAAAUAGGCUCCCGGCUUUUAAACGCCGGGAGGACUUCUUAGAGGGACAGGUGGCGGUUCAGCCGCACGAAAGAGAGCAAUAACAGGUCUGUGAUGCCCUUUGUUGUCCGGGGCCGCACGCGCGCUACACUGAAGAGAUCGGCGUGCUUUAUGUUCCUGCUCCGACCGGAGUGGGGAAUCCAGUGAACCUUCUUCGUGAUUGGGAUAGAAGAUUGUAAUUAUUCUUCUUGAACGAGGAAUUCCCAGUAAAUGCGAGUCAUAAGCUCGCGUUGAUUACGUCCCUGCCCUUUGUACACACCGCCCGUCGCUACUACCGAUUGAACGAUUU
RNAcentral lists this ribosomal RNA (519 nucleotides) under uncultured eukaryote. Its description in RNAcentral is "SSU rRNA". It matches the Rfam family "Eukaryotic small subunit ribosomal RNA", at positions 1161 to 1699 of the family's 1831-position model. The record is from RNAcentral.